AGCGGCUUGCGGAAGGGAGUGUCUAAAACACACAUUUAGUUUUGGGGAGAAUAAUAAUAAUAUUAUUAAUAUUAAUAAUAAUCUGCAUAAACUUAAGAGGCACGGCGACAGCUGUGUCAACUGCAGCGGGGGACGGUGGCGGUGGACCCCAGUGGAGGCUGUUGUAAGCAGGCUUCAGCUGUGGUGUGGUUUUGACAACCUGUCUUGACACAUUUUGUUUCUAUCUUGGCAAGUGAGGUGGCUCGAAAGCCAUUACUUGAGUUUCAGUUUAGGAAGAGGACGGUGGUGGAGUGUGAAUUACCUCCUUUCAUUUUAACUCCUGCGAUCCCUGGCACCUGGCAGUGGCUGGAGGCCCAGAAGACUGUUUCGGUGUCGUUCCUGACCCUCCCGCGAUGCCCAGGUCCAGGAAGAGCAAUCAUUUCUGUGAAGUGCAGUAUGUGGUCAGCGCCAAGUCCUUGCAGUCCUGAGACUCCUGGGACUAGGAAAGUUUCCUAUCAUGGUGCAGCAGCUUAGGAUGUCACUUUUAAUGGUGGAUGAAAGGGAGAUGUGCAAGGAAAACUGGAAUUUCAAAAUGAUUUAAUAAACAUGGUAAGGUUACAGAGAUCGUAGCAGAUGAAACAGAUAAGAGCAUAUUCCACUGCUGAAAACACAUAUUUGUGUUCUUAACCUACUACUUUAGAAAGGCCUAAACAACCCAAGAAUACUGUAUACAAACUCAUAUUGCUUUAGCUAUAGAAGAGAUGGUUUGUUAUGUGUUGUGUGUACUUCGUAAAACUCACUGUUCACUGGUGAGAGAAUGAGAGUAAAAAAAAUGAAAAAGCCAAAUAAUGUGAUUAUAUAUAUAUAUAUAUAUAUAUAUAUAUAUAAAUGAUAUAUGUAUUUUUUUCAGCACUGAGGAUAGAACCAGGACCUCACAGGUGCUAGGCAAGCCCUGUGACCACUGAGCUACCUUCUCAGCUGUUAUUCUUUUUUGAGACAGAAAUCUCAGUAAGUUACACAGGCUGGCCUUGAACUCUCGACUGUCCUGUGUCAGCCUCCUGAGCAGCCGGUAUUACAGGUGUGAGCCAUGGCACUGGACUGAACAGCACCUUAUGUAUGAGGUUUUGACCUUGUUGACUCUGCAUAGGUGUUGGAGACCCCCCUGCACUUCCGGUCCCUUCUUGAGUUUAAUAUUUUUAAAAACUAACUUCACAAUCAUACUUGAUUAGGAAAAAACACCUAAAUAGAAUAUGUUUUCAGACUUGCAAUAUGAUGCAGCAGGAUGAUGCUGUAGCACUAGAGGAUGAACUUUAAGGCAGUUUUCAGCACAUUCUGCGUGUGUCUAACGCACUUUCAUCAGAGUUCUUUUUAUCUUAGACAUCCACAAUGAAGUGGAGGCUGGUAGGGGUGAGAGGGGGCAGUGGUCGAGAUGAGAGGUCAUCACUGAGUGGCUCAAAAGCCAGGCAAAGAUAACGACCAGCUUGGGUCAUUUCCCCUGUCAGAACCCGGGAGUCAGUGGCAGAGGACAGCCUGCAGGCCCUGAGCUGUCUCAUGCCUGUGAGCCAUUUCGGGAGGCAGAACCCAUGAGCAGAUGCUCCUGGUACUCAGAGCAGGUGGUGGUAGAGCCAAAAGAUGGGUGCAGAGGAAAAGGGAAAGGGUGCAUUUAAAGGGCUGGAGGGUGCAGAGUAGGGUGCUGUGGUCAUGAACUGCAUAAAAGGAGGACAGCUGAGAGCACUUCUGCAGGCUGCCUACCGCUACAGGUUUCUACCUAGCUGGACUUUUUCUCCAUGACGCCUACACCCAACAGAGGGCGCUGUUCUCUCACCGAUUAUGUAAAUUGAGCUACUUUAAAAAUGCCUGGCGCAGAGCUAUUCACUUCUUCAAAUCUAAUGACUUCACCAUACAGAGAAACAGGCUAGGGGGUAGCUCACGCUUACCGUGCGCGAGAUCCUGGGUUUGACCCUCAGCACCACAAAGAAAAAAAAGCAGACAACCUAAAAGGAUGGACAUAUAGAUAAAUACUGCAUAGAAAUAAAAUGGUUUUUUUUUUACUGAUUCAAAUGUCAUCUGUCACCUAAAUCCUAGCGAAUCAGGUAUUAUCUCUCACAGUCAGACGUAUAUUUUACCGUACUGCACUCGGAGGAGAAAGUGGCAAUUAUAAAACUCGUGUAAAAUGUUUGUUUUUCUAAAUCAACGGAAACAGAUAGCAUACUGUCAUCUGUGUGUCAUUCAGUGCGUAUCUGGUACCUGCCACUUCCAAGACAUCCUGUAGUUCAUUGCAAGGGUACAAAACGGGUCACUGUCACCUCCCUAUAGCAUGGAGGAGUGGCAAGGGCCACAGGGGAGCUUGAGACCACUCUUUAUGGAUCAAAUAAUACCACCAGCUAAUUACUGAGUUCUACUAUAGGCUGGAAGCUGUUCUUAAGGUACACCUCACUUAAAAUUCACUAGGAUCUUGGAAGCUUAGGUACAGUGAUUUGCACUGUAAAGACCAUGGAGUAGUUUCUCUGGAGUCACACGUUCCAGCAGGGGACUCUAGCUCAGGUGAUCAGAAGGGGAGUCAUCUUCGAGGUACAGCUGGAAGGGAGGUACUGUUUGGGCAUGAAGUCCAAUCUCCACUCCUGCAAAAUGGGGAUAAUGAUUGUAUUUACUUCAUGUGUUUUAAUGAAAAUAAAUAUUUUAAAGUAUUCAGGGAAGUGCCUGAAACUACAGGCUGGCUGUGGGUAUUGGCCAUUAUUAUGGCUAUUAUUACUUUUAAGUAAUAGUGACAGGAAAGGGCGUCUUGAUCUGAGUAACACCAGAGACAACAAAAAGCGUCUUCCUUAGGGAACUCAGGAGGCAUGGACAAGCCGGCUGAAAUGCUGUAUAGGAGGAAGCAAAAAGACAGGGAAGUGAUUAUGGGAAAAUCUAUCUUCUCCAGGAGGUGUUCCUUGAUUGCCUGAACAGGUCUGCUCUCUGCACUUACCCAUAUUCCUCUCCUCCUCUAAUGUUGCAUUUGCAACAUUUGGUUCCAUUAGGAUCCAUUUGGCCUGUUAUGGGUUUAGAAUCUCAGUAGGCACAGGGAGUGUAAGGCAAAAAGAAAGGGUGGCCGUGUCAGGCAGAGGGGUAGGCAGGGGCAGUGUCGGUUCAUGCAGCGGGAUGGGCCGAAUGGCAGUAAGAUCCAUGGUUUGAGCACUUGGGAGGGGUCCAGGGAGGGUACAGGGACCUCAGGGAAGCCUGGGACCACAGUCUGGACAUAGGUAAGUAGGCUUUAUUUUCCUGCAUGUUUUUGCCCCCAGUUUGAAAAAGCAGAGGUCAGCUAUGGAGGUUCACCUUCUACACCAUGAGUGAGUACAGCCACGUUCCCAAGGUGAAGAGGUCCCUCUUCAUGGCACCUCGUGCCUUCUCGUCAUGUUUCUUGGCCCUUCACAUUGAUUCAAAGCUUCUGAUUCAAUGAUCUCUCUGUAGGUGUGACAUUGCAUAAGGAGACUUAUUUCCAACUAAGCUAAGAGGGGAUAAGAAGCAGAAGAAAGGAGGACUGCAUGAAAUACAGGAGUGAGGGCAGGCUGGAGAGAGAAUCUGUUUCUGGAAGCUUCUGUGGGUCUUCAUGGUUUGUCAGGGCCCCGCAGGAGAGGGAGUCCAUCAGAGCGGGCUGCCACACUUUCCUCCAUGUCUCCCCUUCGAGGCCCUUCACCCCCACCCAUCAGCUGCAGUGCCCUCUGCUGUCUAUAUAUUUACCAAAAUGGAGUUUUCCAAGCUAAUCCACUGUGUUCGUACAGAAAGGUAAGUGAAGUGAAUUCACUUUUGCCAUCAAAUAUUCCGCAUCAUAAUGGAAUCUUUUUCCUCAAAACAGUAUCGCGCUUACUAUGGAGCAUUUAAAGCUGUCGAAGAGGAGCCCGACGACCUCCUAGCCUUGCGUUUUCUCUCUGUGAUUUCAAUCGUGGACCCUUGGAUCUUUAUCAUUUUCAGAACUUCAGUAUUUCGGAUGUUUUUU
Cavia porcellus (domestic guinea pig) is the source of this 3952-nucleotide RNA transcript. It is a transcript of the gene named prostaglandin D2 receptor, with no coding region annotated. The transcript has 2 exons. The record is from RefSeq and is a predicted model, not a curated record. Lineage: Eukaryota; Metazoa; Chordata; Mammalia; Rodentia; Caviidae.